AGAGUCCCUCCGGCCCAAGGGGUUCCCGAGGCCAUCCAUCUUUGCGCUCCGCCGGAAAGGUGCCGGGACGUCCGCCAAGGACCGGGAGCGUUUCCCCAGCCAGAGGCUCAACCCUCUGGGGAAGGGCCUGAGCGGGGGACCCAGAAGCCGGGCUGGGAGGCCACCGGGGGAGCCAGUUCCCCCCCCCCAACCCAGGCUAGAGAGUCCCUCCGGCCCAAGGGGUUCCCGAGGCCAUCCAUCUUUGCGCUCCGCCGGAAAGGUGCCGGGACGUCCGCCAAGGACCGGGAGCGUUUCCCCAGCCAGAGGCUCAACCCUCUGGGGAAGGGCCUGAGCGGGGGACCCAGAAGCCGGGCUGGGAGGCCACCGGGGCGGCGCUGGGCCAGCCGAGGCGAGGACACCCCCCACCCCCCCCAGGCAGCAGCGGUGGGGUCGAGGGAGGGAGGGAGGGGGCCGGUGUGCUCCNNNNNNNNNNNNNNNNNNNNNNNNNNNNNNNNNNNNNNNNNNNNNNNNNNNNNNNNUCGGCCAGGCGCACGGGGUGCCCCCCCCCCCGGAGAGGACCGGUCGGAGGUGCCCCCGCCCGCCUCCGCCGCCCCUCGAGGAGACCUCCGAGGCGGACCCGGGCGAGGCAGGAGGGGAGGCCGCCGAACGAGGGGCGCCCGCAGGCCGGGAAAAGGCCUGCCCGCCCGCCUGUUCGGGUCCCGGGAGGGGGAAACAGGCCUCCCUCUGCACAUGCUCAGGAGCCCUCUCUCGGCUCCCCGGGCGCUCUUACCGGCGGCGGGCUCAGCGCCGUGGCUGCCGCAUCCCUCCCGCUUCCUCCUCCUCCUCUUCUUCCGGGGCCCGGCCGGGGGGAGGGCCCUGCCUCUGCUCCGCCCACAAAGGGAAGCGACGGCGGCUCCGAAGGGACAGCAAACCUCGCGGCUCCGCCCCGCCGCCCGGAAACGCGAGGCGACGUCACUGCCGGGUCUCCCUCUCUUGUUGGGGCGCUCCCAUCCUUCGGGUGGGAGGCUCUUUGGGACGCGCCCCUCCUCGCGGGGAGGGAGGGAAUCCCCGGCCUGGAAGAAGCUGCAUCGCCCCCCCCCGCCCCCUUUGCAAGGCGGAAGGCUUCGUGAAUGGGCUGGGGGAGGAAUCUAG
RNAcentral lists this long non-coding RNA (1131 nucleotides) under Pogona vitticeps (central bearded dragon). RNAcentral describes it as "lncRNA (ENSPVIG00000007663.1)". The record is from RNAcentral. Lineage: Eukaryota; Metazoa; Chordata; Lepidosauria; Squamata; Agamidae.